RNAcentral lists this ribosomal RNA (173 nucleotides) under uncultured bacterium. RNAcentral's name for it is "partial 16S ribosomal RNA". It matches the Rfam family "Bacterial small subunit ribosomal RNA", at positions 1330 to 1500 of the family's 1533-position model. The record is from RNAcentral.
AAUUGCUAGUAAUGGCAGGUCAGCAUACUGCCGUGAAUACGUUCCCGGGCCUUGUACACACCGCCCGUCACACCAUGAGAGUUGGGGAUACCCGAAGCCUGUGAGCUAACUAUUUAUAGGAGCAGCAGUCGAAGGUAGAAUCAAUGAUUGGGGUGAAGUCGUAACAAGGUAUC